Long non-coding RNA from Daphnia carinata, 1715 nucleotides. RefSeq lists it as uncharacterized. The transcript is spliced from 6 exons. The record is from RefSeq and is a predicted model, not a curated record. NCBI's taxonomy places the organism in Eukaryota, Metazoa, Arthropoda, Branchiopoda, Diplostraca, Daphniidae.
GGGGGCUUAGACGAACAUCUGAAUCCGAUUUUGAAGAAGUCUUGCAUCGAUGGACACUGACAAAAUAUAGGAAGCUGCACAUGAAUGUUGGGUAUUUUAUCAUAAGUAGAAUACAGAUAGAUUCUGUAGUAGUAGAUCUCUUUAGUUGGGUAUUGAAAUUGGCUUUGGUUUGUAUGGGGUCUGAUGAGGUCUCAGUUGCAUUUGAUCCUACUUGUUAUUUAUCACUGCCAAUGCCAGUCGAAAAGGAAGUACCAGUUGACCUGUAUCUGGCUAACGUGGACCUUUUAGCAGAAAUUUUUCUGCUUUCAAGGGAUUCAAAGAGUUUGUAGAAUAUUAUGUCUCUAGGAUUCCACAGUUUUAGGCAGAUUCUUAAUUAUAAAGGAUUGGGAAAGAAAAUUGACGGAGGCUCAGUGCCAAAAAAAUUAUGGUAGUUGGAAUGAUUACCGAAGCUCUUCGGAUUCGUUUAUUUCACUCGUUAUGGUAUUUAAAGAAAAUAAACGUGUACCUGUGCCCCUUUGUAUCUGUGACCCGAUUUCCUCUUCACUUGCGAUAAUUCUGCAGCGGGUCAUGCAGAUACUGUGAUCAGCAGAAAAAGUUGGAAGUGCGCUGCCCGGAAAGCAAAUCUGGGGUAAAAGAAAAAAACUUAUUCCAACUAGUAAGCCAUUCCCAAAUUCAACCAACAAAAAGGAAAAGGUGGAAGGAAAAACUUCGUUCUCUGGUAGUGUUUUAGUUAAAAUCCUUUUUGUGCAAAUUCAUAUUUGAAAUUGUUUACCUCAUUUUCGAAUGGUUCCGUUCACAUUUGUUGUUCAUGUGAGAUUUUAUGUUUACCAGUUACUGCAUUAUAUUGACCACUAUUGCAAGAUGUUUGUUUAGGAAUAACUACUGUUUUGUUUAUCUGGAAUGUUGUGUGGGAGUCCAUCAGGAAUUGCUGGUCUGCAGUAAAUUUGUCAGGCUAGGUGAUGAAGAUCAAUGAAUCAGAAAAUGUUUUGCAUGGGUGGUGAAUGUUCUGACAGUUUUAACAGUUGUGAUGUGGUGUAUUUCACUUCCACGCAUCAUGGUGUUUUUAUCUAUCAGUUGAAUUGUAUGGUUAAUUUUCUGUUCGUGUAACCUCAUUUCCUCUUGAAUCAUAUAGUAGAAAUUGGUGACCUGAAACAAUGAACAUGGAAAAAUCACCUGUGCCAACGUUGACGAUGUUUGAUUGAUGAAGUGCUGGAAACUAAAAUUAAUUUUCUUUACAAUUUGGUUUCAGGCUAUCUUUAUAAUUUUUUAUUAGUUUUGCGUUUGUUUAGAGUCCGCAAGCUCGUAGCUGAUUUCCUCCUUUAGAUACCGCCUGUCGACGGUUUGACAGCCUCACACAAUUGAACGUAUGCCAAAAAGCCAAAGUGAGCUCUUCCGAUCAGAAAAGUGACGGCGUAUCCAUUUAAUUGAAAAUAGGCACAAGAUAACGCACAAUUGGCGUUCUUGCCUCAAUGGAGAAAUUUUUCCGUGGAACUUAUGACCGAAAUACCAUUGCAGCUGUUCAAAAAAAAAAGAAAAGUGUAUUAUCAUGCAGAUGUUGACUAGCUAACAAUCCAGAGAUACGUCAACUUGCGAAAUUUCUAGAUGUGUGUGAAGCGCAAUCAGCAUCCUUGUUGAACUGUGAACCCAAAUCAUGUAUUUUCCUAGAAAUAUCUAGGUUUUUGGAUAAAUAAAUAAAAGUCAGUGAAAAAAUGUGA